GCAAGAUAGGUUCAGCUUGUUGCA
RNAcentral lists this non-coding RNA (24 nucleotides) under Arabidopsis thaliana (thale cress). Lineage: Eukaryota; Viridiplantae; Streptophyta; Magnoliopsida; Brassicales; Brassicaceae. The record is from RNAcentral.